UACAGAGGCCCCAAGCAUUAUCCGGAAUCACUGGGCGUAAAGGGUGUGUAGGCGGUUCUAUUAGUCUCUCGUGAAAGAUCUUGGGCUUAACCCAGGAGACGCGGGGGAAACGGUAGGGCUUUGAGGACGUAAGAGGUACAGGGAACUCAUGGUGUAGGGGUGAAAUCCGUUGAUAUCAUGGGGAACACCAAAUGCGAAGGCACUGUGCUGGUACGCUCCUGACGCUGAAACACGAAAGCGUGGGAAUCGAAUGGG
Molecule: ribosomal RNA, 255 nt
Filed under: uncultured bacterium
Lineage: Bacteria
Description: partial 16S ribosomal RNA
Rfam family: Bacterial small subunit ribosomal RNA
Source: RNAcentral